AUGGUGGAGAAGCAGUUCUCCAGAAGCAUUUUCCAGAUCCAGAUGUGGGCUGUGUUGCUCUGGUGUGAAGACACAGAAAUCCUCCUCAUCAAAAACAUGACUCUGAUCUGCGUCCUCAUCUGGACUCUCCUCUGCUGCUGCUUCACAGAGUCCAGAGGUCAGGUCACAGUGACUCAGCCUGGAUCAGUGACUUCUGCUCUGGGAGGCUCCGUCCCCAUCAGCUGUAAAACCAGUCACAAUGUUUACUAUGAUCGCUACUACUAUUUAGCCUGGUACCAACAGAGAGAUGGAGGAACUCCUAAACUGCUCUUUAAUAAUGAUGGCAGUCGAGUAUCAGGAACACCAAGUCGUUUUACAGAUGGUGGAUCAAACUCUGACUUCACUCUGACCAUCAGUGGAGUUCAGACUAAAGAUGCAGCAGUUUAUUACUGUCAGAGUUUUCAUGUCAUCAACAGGAAAGAUGUGUUCACACAAUGA
Molecule: non-coding RNA, 477 nt
Organism: Cololabis saira (Pacific saury)
Lineage: Eukaryota; Metazoa; Chordata; Actinopteri; Beloniformes; Belonidae
Source: the annotation of a RefSeq genome assembly